Molecule: ribosomal RNA, 429 nt
Filed under: Gemmatimonadota bacterium
Lineage: Bacteria; Pseudomonadati; Gemmatimonadota
Description: Gemmatimonadetes bacterium partial 16S ribosomal RNA
Rfam family: Bacterial small subunit ribosomal RNA
Source: RNAcentral
UAGGGAAUCUUCUGCAAUGGACGAAAGUCUGACCGAGCAACGCCGCGUGAGUGAAGAAGGUUUUCGGAUCGUAAAACUCUGUUGUUAGAGAAGAACAAGGACGUUAGUAACUGAACGUCCCCUGACGGUAUCUAACCAGAAAGCCACGGCUAACUACUUGACAGCAGCCGCGGUAAUACGUAGGUGGCAAGCGUUGUCCGGAUUUAUUGGGCGUAAAGCGAGCGCAGGCGGUUUCUUAAGUCUGAUGUGAAAGCCCCCGGCUAAAGCGGGGAGGGUCAUUGGAAACUGGGAGACUUGAGUGCAGAAGAGGAGAGUGGAUUUCCAUGUGUAGCGGUGAAAUGCGUAGAUAUAUGGAGGAACACCAGUGGCGAAGGCGGCUCUCUGGUCUGUAACUGACGCUGAGGCUCGAAAGCGUGGGGAGCAAACAGG